AGAGUUUGAUCCUGGCUCAGGACGAACGCUUGCGACGUGCCUAAGAAAUGCAAGUCGAACGGAUCAGCAGCAAUGCUGGUUAGUGGCGAACGGUCGCGUAACACGUGGGCAACCUGCCCUGAAGCGGGGGACAACAACUCGAAAGAGUUGCUAAUACCGCAUGUGUCUCGCUGUGGCAUCACAGAGGAGACAAAGCCGCAAGGCACUUCAGGAUGGGCCCGCGGCCUAUCAGCUAGUUGGUGAGGUAACGGCCCACCAAGGCUUCGACGGGUAGCUGGUCUGAGAGGACGAUCAGCCGGAUUGGGACUGAGAUACGGCCCAGACUCCUACGGGGGGCAGCAAUUAGGAAUCUUGCACAAUGGGCGAAAGCCUGAUGCAGCGACGUCGCGUGAAGGAUGAAAUCUUUCGGGAUGUAAACUUCUUUUACCAGGGAAGAAACAAAUGACGGUACCUGGUGAAUAAGCCCCGGCUAACUACGUGCCAGCAGCCGCGGUAAUACGUAGGGGGCGAGCGUUGUCCGAAGUUACUGGGCGUAAAGAGCGCGUAGGCGGGUCUUUAAGUGAGGGGUGGAAGUCCGGGGCUCAACCCCGGAACUGCCUUUCAUACUGGGGACCUUGAGUGUGGGAGAGGCGAGUGGAAUAGUCGGUGUAGCGGUGAAGUGCGUAGAUAUCGAUCGGAACACCCAUGGCGAAGGCAGCUCGCUGGCCUAUAACUGACGCUGAGGCGCGAAAGCGUGGGGAGCAAACAGGAUUAGAUACCCUGGUAGUCC
This 769-nucleotide ribosomal RNA is filed under the name uncultured bacterium. RNAcentral describes it as "bacterial SSU rRNA". It matches the Rfam family "Bacterial small subunit ribosomal RNA", at positions 8 to 796 of the family's 1533-position model. The record is from RNAcentral.